UACAGAGGUCUCAAGCGUUGUUCGGAUUCAUUGGGCGUAAAGGGUGCGCAGGCGGCGUGGUAAGUCGGAUGUGAAAUCUCGGAGCUUAACUCCGAAACUGCAUUCGAUACUGCCGUGCUUGAGGACUGGAGAGGAGACUGGAAUUUACGGUGUAGCGGUGAAAUGCGUAGAUAUCGUAAGGAAGACCAGUGGCGAAGGCGGGUCUCUGGACAGUUCCUGACGCUGAGGCACGAAGGCCAGGGGAGCAAACGGG
Molecule: ribosomal RNA, 253 nt
Filed under: uncultured bacterium
Lineage: Bacteria
Description: partial 16S ribosomal RNA
Rfam family: Bacterial small subunit ribosomal RNA
Source: RNAcentral